This 3173-nucleotide ribosomal RNA is filed under the name Triticum aestivum (bread wheat). Its description in RNAcentral is "partial small subunit ribosomal RNA". Lineage: Eukaryota; Viridiplantae; Streptophyta; Magnoliopsida; Poales; Poaceae. The record is from RNAcentral.
GGUGGAAGAAGAAGCGGAAGAGGAAGAGGAACCAGUUUGGCGGAAAGCGAGAAGAGAAGAGAUAGGGGGAAUUUUUUCAUCGCCGUGGGCCUCGCCUCUUGGUUGGGUCCACGCCCGACCCUUAGCUCCGCCCCCGUGGAGGUGUUAGAGAGAGAGGGGGAGAGAGGAGACGAAGAAAGCCACACAAGGAGCAAAAGGCCCUCCCCGGCCCCUCAACAAGAACCGGUGACCUCAGCCAGGUCUCGUCUGGAUGGGAGCAGGCAGACGCGGGCCGUUCUAGAAACAAAGGGGGGCAAGCGCCGCCGAGGAGGGAGGGAAGAACCAACCACCCUGCCCCUUUUUUCCUAGCUCUGCCGGUGUGGGGACGGGCCUUAAGUGGUGAGAGACGUCCCUUAAAAAUCCAAAGAAGAGGCAGUGGCCGCCUGUGUACUAGACUUGGGGAGGCGCGGUGAGGCAGGUAGGCGGAAGAUGAAACCCCCUCCUCUUCUCCCUAGUUAGCAGGCCAUAGCCUCGACUCCUUCUAAAGAACGAGUGUACCGGCCGUGGCCGCUAGCACCUAGGGAGUACCUCCUGACCUACCGGUACGGGGGCUGUGGGUCGGGCUCUUGCGAGUACAGUUCGAAGAACUUACUUCUGAAGCCGAGACCAGUUAAGAGGUUAAAAAAGCCGCUUGUACACUCGUUGUUCGGGGUGCUAGUUAGUCUCUUCUCUCCUCUCGAACACCUAAACUCCCUCGUUCACGGACGAGUCAGUCUAUGUCGAUGUCGAUGUGGGGUUUUCCUAAAAAGGGACGUUGGUUUAAACAAGGUACGAUUGGUCUUUAGUUUGGGUGUCCCUAGAGACCGGCUCGCGUCCCGAAGGUCUCGACCAAAGUCAUAGGGGUUCUAACUAUGUAGAGCACACCCAAGUAGGUGUCAAUAAGCUAGUGGGUAUCGUUAAGGUGGACCAGAAUCAGGUUGAUGAGAAGAACUCAGUGGCCAAAAAGAGAUGUUACGAUACCGUGUCGGAAGUGGUUGGUGACCGUUUGACAAGCAACGAAGUCUCCGAUUGAGUUGUUACGGUGGUCUAUCGUGUAAGUCAUUGCUACAAAAGAGGAAGGUUGGGGUGAGACCCGGUUGUUCAAUGAGUUUACACCUUUUCCCAAUGUUACAAUCGGUGGUUUUGGUCAACAACAGUUUAUAAGUAGUCGUCCCUAGGUCAGAAGUCAGUUCGAAAUGACGUCAGUUCCUGUCACGGCUGCUUUGUUAACAGUUUGGCUUCUGCAGACUGAGACACAAGUCACAAUUAGUGAGAAGACUUCUUGUCCUUCUACUGCUCCCUCUGGUUUUACUCCUUAUGAGAAGACGGUGUUUAUCGUUGGGUCGACUUCUACCUAUAUUGACCUCUUUUAUACCUGUCUUCGUUCAAUUCUCGUCACUCGUAGGUUCCUCGAUAAUGUUCACGUGUGUGGGGCUAACGGGACAGUUCUUUUUCCACCUUGCGAGAGUUCUACCAGUCUAUUGUCUCUAUCAGAUGUUCUCAAGAGUGUUAGUGGGAAACGGCGGAGGUUUGGCGGCGAGUCCAUAGGGAAACAGCGUUUAGUUACUAGUUGUUCAGGUACAAGAUCUCUUUGGACCAAGCGUGUGUCCCGAGUUGUGACGUAGAAACACCCUUUUACCAUUUUCACUCACGUAAGUUCUAUACGUUCCACAACUCCCUUCUGGUCGACGACCGGGAGGACAUAGACGUAUACCACUAUGUAGAUAGUACCUCAGGGUUCUACGUCGACUACAGAGCAGUUGCGACAGGUUACUCUAACUAUCUCGUUGUGUUCCGUGGUAAAGAAAUCUGACACUACAUCCACUUCUACUCUGACUUAGGUUUUCUUCCUUCGACCUACGAAAUCGAUCACAAUGAUAAGGAUGACGCUGGUGGUGGUCAAGUUAACUGUACCACCGACGUCGUAGUUCUCGACAGGCCCUCGGAGCACAACACCAAGUCUGUUGUUCGCUCCAACUGUAGGAACUGCUACCAAUAGCGACCGCGUUCAUACCAGUCUUCCAACAAUUUCCUUUGGGUUUAGGUUCCUCGAUGAUGUUUACAUGGGUGGUCCCGACAAGCCACGCGUUCGUGCACCUCUCUCGCAGCGUGCUAGACUUUAGGCACUAGUGCUGUAUGCUCCCCUUCGUGUUGGUACUUCAAGGUCGUCGGUCUUUAUCGCCCUUGCGCCCGAGACCAAGGCAGUCACGAGGUCGUAGUCGCGGUGUCCGGUUAGAGAGUGUGGCGUCCGUUCUUGUUCGCGUUCCGUCGAUAGGAGUCAAACCACCGCGCUGAGGGAAGCCAAGGAAGCCGGAGGGCGGCUCUCCGGUAGACCCUCGCCGUCCGUUGAAGGUGAAGCCCUACCGGGGAAGUCCGUACAGCUACGGCGGCUACGGGCGGCGGGCAGUAGGAGGUAGUUACUACGUCCCGAUGGGCCCCGAGUACUACGUCCUUCCCGUCUACUUCCGCCUCGGUCUGGUCGUCAGGCCCAAGCGUCGCAGUAGCCGAAUGGUUGUCUACUACCCGUCCGGGGGGAAACCAGGGGUCUACAUUUAUUAUCCUACGUUUCUUUCCUUUCUAUCUACACGAGGCCGAACGGACAUAUGUACCAUCUUAACGAUGUCGUACGUAUCGAAGCAAGAUCAAAGAGAACCAGUGGUAAAAAAAAAUUAGAGCACCCGUAAAAAACAUUCGUCUCUUACGUCUCCUGCCAAGAGUAUAGAAAGUCAACGAACCUUAGUCUUUCUUUUCCCUAUCGAAGAUUCUGUUAACCCGUAACCAAUUUAGUUAGUUUUGGGGAGUCCCAUACUCCCACUCGACGAUGAUGUGGACCACAAAAAAGCAUGAGGGAGGCAAUGUUUUAUUCACAGCACCAAAAUCAAGUUUGGCAAGAUUGAAACUUUAUUUUGGUGCUGUAAAUAAAACUUUGUCUGCCUCAACCAAAGAAGACUUUCUUUGUAACCAACGGUAAGAUUGCGAGACACGCAAUUUAGUUAGUUUUAGGGAGUACAAUACUCCCAAUCGUCGUCGAGGAUACCAACAGUUCACGAUGGUGAUGUGGACCACGAAAAAGCAUGAGAAACAAAGUUUUAUUUACAACACUGAAGUCAAGUUUAACAAAGUUUUAUUCACAGUAACAAAAUCAAGUUUAAAUU